RNAcentral lists this ribosomal RNA (1534 nucleotides) under Escherichia coli. RNAcentral describes it as "16S ribosomal RNA from Escherichia coli (PDB 6VZ3, chain D)". It matches the Rfam family "Bacterial small subunit ribosomal RNA". The record is from RNAcentral. Lineage: Bacteria; Pseudomonadati; Pseudomonadota; Gammaproteobacteria; Enterobacterales; Enterobacteriaceae.
AAAUUGAAGAGUUUGAUCAUGGCUCAGAUUGAACGCUGGCGGCAGGCCUAACACAUGCAAGUCGAACGGUAACAGGAAGAAGCUUGCUUCUUUGCUGACGAGUGGCGGACGGGUGAGUAAUGUCUGGGAAACUGCCUGAUGGAGGGGGAUAACUACUGGAAACGGUAGCUAAUACCGCAUAACGUCGCAAGACCAAAGAGGGGGACCUUCGGGCCUCUUGCCAUCGGAUGUGCCCAGAUGGGAUUAGCUAGUAGGUGGGGUAACGGCUCACCUAGGCGACGAUCCCUAGCUGGUCUGAGAGGAUGACCAGCCACACUGGAACUGAGACACGGUCCAGACUCCUACGGGAGGCAGCAGUGGGGAAUAUUGCACAAUGGGCGCAAGCCUGAUGCAGCCAUGCCGCGUGUAUGAAGAAGGCCUUCGGGUUGUAAAGUACUUUCAGCGGGGAGGAAGGGAGUAAAGUUAAUACCUUUGCUCAUUGACGUUACCCGCAGAAGAAGCACCGGCUAACUCCGUGCCAGCAGCCNCGGUAAUACGGAGGGUGCAAGCGUUAAUCGGAAUUACUGGGCGUAAAGCGCACGCAGGCGGUUUGUUAAGUCAGAUGUGAAAUCCCCGGGCUCAACCUGGGAACUGCAUCUGAUACUGGCAAGCUUGAGUCUCGUAGAGGGGGGUAGAAUUCCAGGUGUAGCGGUGAAAUGCGUAGAGAUCUGGAGGAAUACCGGUGGCGAAGGCGGCCCCCUGGACGAAGACUGACGCUCAGGUGCGAAAGCGUGGGGAGCAAACAGGAUUAGAUACCCUGGUAGUCCACGCCGUAAACGAUGUCGACUUGGAGGUUGUGCCCUUGAGGCGUGGCUUCCGGAGCUAACGCGUUAAGUCGACCGCCUGGGGAGUACGGCCGCAAGGUUAAAACUCAAAUGAAUUGACGGGGGCCCGCACAAGCGGUGGAGCAUGUGGUUUAAUUCGAUGCAACGCGAAGAACCUUACCUGGUCUUGACAUCCACGGAAGUUUUCAGAGAUGAGAAUGUGCCUUCGGGAACCGUGAGACAGGUGCUGCAUGGCUGUCGUCAGCUCGUGUUGUGAAAUGUUGGGUUAAGUCCCGCAACGAGCGCAACCCUUAUCCUUUGUUGCCAGCGGUCCGGCCGGGAACUCAAAGGAGACUGCCAGUGAUAAACUGGAGGAAGGUGGGGAUGACGUCAAGUCAUCAUGGCCCUUACGACCAGGGCUACACACGUGCUACAAUGGCGCAUACAAAGAGAAGCGACCUCGCGAGAGCAAGCGGACCUCAUAAAGUGCGUCGUAGUCCGGAUUGGAGUCUGCAACUCGACUCCAUGAAGUCGGAAUCGCUAGUAAUCGUGGAUCAGAAUGCCACGGUGAAUACGUUCCCGGGCCUUGUACACACCGCCCGUCACACCAUGGGAGUGGGUUGCAAAAGAAGUAGGUAGCUUAACCUUCGGGAGGGCGCUUACCACUUUGUGAUUCAUGACUGGGGUGAAGUCGUAACAAGGUAACCGUAGGGGAACCUGCGGUUGGAUCA